Vulpes vulpes (red fox) is the source of this 1851-nucleotide long non-coding RNA. The record is from Ensembl. NCBI's taxonomy places the organism in Eukaryota, Metazoa, Chordata, Mammalia, Carnivora, Canidae.
CUAGCUUUUGGUUUAUUUACCAGGGUGUGUAUCUCUAAACAUUUUCUCUUUUAAAUUGGCCCUCAAGGGCCAUAAGCCCUAUUAGGCCCGAGUGGAGAAAAAAGAGAAGGAUUAAAGGACAUUCAGCAGGAGUGUCCUGAAAAAGAUGUCUGCCUGAAGGUGUAUGGUCAGUCAGGUUAUGCUUCAUAUCACCCACCGGGGAGGAUCAUCUCUCAUGAAAACUUUCAAAUUUGAUUUUGAAAAUUAUUCAGAAAAAUUUAAGCCACACUGUCUCCCAAUAUAGGAAAGAAUAUACUCUGGAGGUUCCUAUAAUUCAAAGAAAAUGGACUAGGAUAACAUUUGGGUUCUCGUGCUACCAAAAUCCUCUUGAGAAGGAUAGCCAGUGUCGGAACAGGACUCGUCACCUUGGACGUCGGAGGGCCCCUUCAUUGUCUCUGUUUGUGGUUACAGCGUUUGCCUAUUCCUUGUGCUAUUUCUAUUUUUGUCAUUGGAGUCCAUGAAGACUUAAUCAUCAGCCCUCUCUAAUUUUCCGGAAAGAAAAAAGAAAAAGGAAAUAUGUUGAUUUAUUGAACUGGCUGCAGAAAGAAGAAGAGGAAGAAGAAGGAGAAGGAGAAGAAGAUCAAUCUGCCAUUGAGGCUAAUAACGUGCGGCCGGGAAGGAGGCCGCGCUCCCAGGGUUAUCUCGCCGCCUCAGAUGCCGGGAAGCCCAAGGAGCCCAGCCGCUUCUGGACGACGUUCAGCAAGGCCGCAGUGAUCCCUGCGCGGAGAAGAGCCUGCCUGCUCUUUUCCAAGCCCCAGAUCCCAGAAGCAGAAGAAGUUGUGUGGAUACACAUGGCUGAGUCUAUUAACUAAGACCUCUAUUGGAGAGCGUACAAUGUCGUGGUAAGAGCACAGAGUCUGGAGCCAGGCUGCCAGAUUUAGUCCUAGCAAUACCACUCACUAGCCAUGUGCCCUGGGUCAGUGUUGUUUCACCUCUGUGUUUCUUCCAUUCCUAACCUGGAAAAUAGAGAUGUGUUAUUUCUACAGUUAUGUGGCUGGUGAUGAGGAUAGAGCAGUGAUGAAACAGAUAACAUCCCUGUUCUGAUAGACCUUACAUUCUGGCAAAGAAGACAGAAAGCAAACAGGUAUAUGAUUUGUUGAGUGGUGAUAAGAGCAAAGAAGAAAGGCAAUACAAGGUAAAAGGAUAGAGAGUGAUGGAAGGGUUCAAUUUUUAUGGAAAAAAAUGUAAGGAAAGGAAGAGAAAGCCUUUGUGAAAAGUGAUGUUUCAGCAAAGAGUUUGUACAUAUUUGGGCAAAGUGUAUCCACACUGAGGAAAAGCAAGUGUAAGGCCUUGGUGAGGAAAGCUUCUUUGAGUGUUCAUGAAAGUGAGGGGGCUAAAAAGGCUGCCAGCAGAUGAACAUAGAAGACAGAUCAUGUAUAGCCUUGUAGGCCAUGGUAAGAGAUUGGAUGGUAUUCUGAGCAAAAUGGAAAGUCAUUGGAGAAGAGAGAGAAAUGACUGCAAAGUAUUUGCCAGCACAAUUAGAAUUCUGUAGAAAGCUGUCAUUUACUGAGGUGAGGCAAGAUUGAGGAAGAAACAGAAUGGGGACAUCAAAAGUUUAUGACCAGACAUAUUAAAUUUGAGAUGCCUAUUAAAUUUUUAAUUGCAAAAGUCUAGUAGGAAGUUUAAUGUAUAUAUUUGGAGUUCAAAUGCUGCUGUGAGUCCGUGGGGGGUGAGAACUGAAAAUUGACCAUUGAAUUUAAUAGCACAGAGGUCAUUAGUGACUUGGACAGGAAUAUUUCAAUAUUUUCAUAUUUCACCAUGUCAGUGGGAGAAUGAAUGCCUGACAGCAGAUAGGGAGACAGGAUGAGAAGA